GGGAGUGUAGUUCAGUAGUAGAGUGCUUGCCUAGCAUGCAUGAGGCCCUAGGUUCCAUCCCCAACACACACA
This 72-nucleotide transfer RNA is filed under the name Urocitellus parryii (Arctic ground squirrel). Its description in RNAcentral is "Spermophilus parryii (Arctic ground squirrel) tRNA". It matches the Rfam family "tRNA". From Rfam's summary of the family: Transfer RNA (tRNA) molecules are approximately 80 nucleotides in length. The record is from Rfam by way of RNAcentral. RNAcentral also lists the same sequence under 2 other names. Lineage: Eukaryota; Metazoa; Chordata; Mammalia; Rodentia; Sciuridae.